This 67-nucleotide transfer RNA is filed under the name Marmota monax (woodchuck). Its description in RNAcentral is "tRNA.Ala". The record is from RNAcentral. Lineage: Eukaryota; Metazoa; Chordata; Mammalia; Rodentia; Sciuridae.
GGUUGUGGCUCAGCGGUAGAACACUUGCCUAGCAUGUACAAGACGCUGGGUUCAAUCCUCAGCACCA